GUGUCAGCAGCCGCGGUAAUACCGGCAGUCCGAGUGAUGGCCGAUCUUAUUGGGCCUAAAGCGUCCGUAGCUGGCCGGACAAGUCCGUUGGGAAAUCUGCUCGCUUAACGAGCAGGCGUCCAGCGGAAACUGUUCGGCUUGGGACCGGAAGACCUGAGGGGUACGUCCGGGGUAGGAGUGAAAUCCUGUAAUCCUGGACGGACCAUCGGUGGCGAAAGCGCCUCAGGAGGACGGAUCCGACAGUGAGGGACGAAAGCUAGGGUCUCGAACCGGAUUAGAAACCCCCGUAGUCC
RNAcentral lists this ribosomal RNA (293 nucleotides) under uncultured prokaryote. RNAcentral's name for it is "partial 16S ribosomal RNA". It matches the Rfam family "Archaeal small subunit ribosomal RNA", at positions 455 to 747 of the family's 1478-position model. The record is from RNAcentral.